RNAcentral lists this ribosomal RNA (253 nucleotides) under uncultured bacterium. RNAcentral's name for it is "partial 16S ribosomal RNA". It matches the Rfam family "Bacterial small subunit ribosomal RNA", at positions 524 to 776 of the family's 1533-position model. The record is from RNAcentral.
UACGUAGGGUGCAAGCGUUGUCCGGAAUCAUUGGGCGUAAAGAGCGUGUAGGCGGCCAGAAAAGUCCGCUGUGAAAACUCGAGGCUCAACUUCGAGCUGUCGGUGGAAACUUUCUGGCUAGAGUCCGGAAGAGGAGAAUGGAAUUCCUGGUGUAGCGGUGAAAUGCGCAGAUAUCAGGAAGAACACCCGUGGCGAAGGCGGUUCUCUGGGCAUUACCUGACGCUGAGGAGCGAAAGUGUGGGGAGCGAACAGG